UCUGAAUUAAUGACCUAGAAGAUGGGAGUUACCACAUAGCUCAAUACAUAACGGGGACGUAAGGACAACUGAAUGAUGGAUGAAUUCUUACCAUGCUCCAGCAGUAAUGUCUUCAGAGAAUAUUUUAAAUUCAGAAGACACCACGCCUAGAGUUGCAGAAGCAAUCCUGUGACCAUGAGGCAAGAAGCAUGAGGGCCAUGCUACAAGCCAAGAUCUGCAAGCUAAUGAAGACAGAGAACGAAGAUAAGAGGUAGACCCCAGUGAUAUCACAGUGCCACCACACCAGACCUGGACUGCUUAAUGCAUGAAAUAAAAAGGGCUCUCCACUUGUGUGGGUCACUCUUGUCAGGUUUUCUGUUUGUUAGCCCAAUGCAUUUCUGAUAUAGGCCUUUCUCUUUUUAAUUUUUUGCUAAUUUUAUUCAUUUUUAAAAAUGGCUACAGGUAUUAUCCUCUGAGAAA
This 459-nucleotide long non-coding RNA is filed under the name Homo sapiens (human). RNAcentral's name for it is "HSALNT0337750". Lineage: Eukaryota; Metazoa; Chordata; Mammalia; Primates; Hominidae. The record is from RNAcentral.